This 156-nucleotide ribosomal RNA is filed under the name Lasiodiplodia theobromae. RNAcentral describes it as "5.8S ribosomal RNA". It matches the Rfam family "5.8S ribosomal RNA". Rfam says of the family: 5.8S ribosomal RNA (5.8S rRNA) is a component of the large subunit of the eukaryotic ribosome. It is transcribed by RNA polymerase I as part of the 45S precursor that also contains 18S and 28S rRNA. Lineage: Eukaryota; Fungi; Ascomycota; Dothideomycetes; Botryosphaeriales; Botryosphaeriaceae. The record is from RNAcentral.
AAUAAACUAAAACUUUCAACAACGGAUCUCUUGGUUCUGGCAUCGAUGAAGAACGCAGCGAAAUGCGAUAAGUAAUGUGAAUUGCAGAAUUCAGUGAAUCAUCGAAUCUUUGAACGCACAUUGCGCCCCUUGGUAUUCCGGGGGGCAUGCCUGUUC